GAUGAACGCUGGCGGCGUGCCUAAUACAUGCAAGUCGAGCGAACGGACGAGAAGCUUGCUUCUCUGAUGUUAGCGGCGGACGGGUGAGUAACACGUGGAUAACCUACCCAUAAGACUGGGAUAACUUCGGGAAACCGGAGCUAAUACCGGAUAAUAUUUUGAACCGCAUGGUUCAAAAGUGAAAGACGGUCUUGCUGUCACUUAUAGAUGGAUCCGCGCUGCAUUAGCUAGUUGGUAAGGUAACGGCUUACCAAGGCAACGAUGCAUAGCCGACCUGAGAGGGCGAUCGGCCACACUGGAACUGAGACACGGUCCAGACUCCUACGGGAGGCAGCAGUAGGGAAUCUUCCGCAAUGGGCGAAAGCCUGACGGAGCAACGCCGCGUGAGUGAUGAAGGUCUUCGGAUCGUAAAACUCUGUUAUUAGGGAAGAACAUAUGUGUAAGUAACUGUGCACAUCUUGACGGUACCUAAUCAGAAAGCCACGGCUAACUACGUGCCAGCAGCCGCGGUAAUACGUAGGUGGCAAGCGUUAUCCGGAAUUAUUGGGCGUAAAGCGCGCGUAGGCGGUUUUUUAAGUCUGAUGUGAAAGCCCACGGCUCAACCGUGGAGGGUCAUUGGAAACUGGAAAACUUGAGUGCAGAAGAGGAAAGUGGAAUUCCAUGUGUAGCGGUGAAAUGCGCAGAGAUAUGGAGGAACACCAGUGGCGAAGGCGACUUUCUGGUCUGUAACUGACGCUGAUGUGCGAAAGCGUGGGGAUCAAACAGGAUUAGAUACCCUGGUAGUCCACGCCGUAAACGAUGAGUGCUAAGUGUUAGGGGGUUUCCGCCCCUUAGUGCUGCAGCUAACGCAUUAAGCACUCCGCCUGGGGAGUACGACCGCAAGGUUGAAACUCAAAGGAAUUGACGGGGACCCGCACAAGCGGUGGAGCAUGUGGUUUAAUUCGAAGCAACGCGAAGAACCUUACCAAAUCUUGACAUCCUUUGACAACUCUAGAGAUAGAGCCUUCCCCUUCGGGGGACAAAGUGACAGGUGGUGCAUGGUUGUCGUCAGCUCGUGUCGUGAGAUGUUGGGUUAAGUCCCGCAACGAGCGCAACCCUUAAGCUUAGUUGCCAUCAUUAAGUUGGGCACUCUAAGUUGACUGCCGGUGACAAACCGGAGGAAGGUGGGGAUGACGUCAAAUCAUCAUGCCCCUUAUGAUUUGGGCUACACACGUGCUACAAUGGACAAUACAAAGGGCAGCGAAACCGCGAGGUCAAGCAAAUCCCAUAAAGUUGUUCUCAGUUCGGAUUGUAGUCUGCAACUCGACUACAUGAAGCUGGAAUCGCUAGUAAUCGUAGAUCAGCAUGCUACGGUGAAUACGUUCCCGGGUCU
This 1372-nucleotide ribosomal RNA is filed under the name uncultured bacterium. RNAcentral describes it as "bacterial SSU rRNA". It matches the Rfam family "Bacterial small subunit ribosomal RNA", at positions 28 to 1381 of the family's 1533-position model. The record is from RNAcentral.